GAUGAACGCUGGCGGCGUGCCUAAUACAUGCAAGUCGAGCGAACAGACGAGGAGCUUGCUCCUCUGACGUUAGCGGCGGACGGGUGAGUAACACGUGGAUAACCUACCUAUAAGACUGGGAUAACUUCGGGAAACCGGAGCUAAUACCGGAUAAUAUAUUGAACCGCAUGGUUCAAUAGUGAAAGACGGUUUUGCUGUCACUUGUAGAUGGAUCCGCGCCGCAUUAGCUAGUUGGUAAGGUAACGGCUUACCAAGGCAACGAUGCGUAGCCGACCUGAGAGGGUGAUCGGCCACACUGGAACUGAGACACGGUCCAGACUCCUACGGGAGGCAGUAGUAGGGAAUCUUCCGCAAUGGGCGAAAGCCUGACGGAGCAACGCCGCGUGAGUGAUGAAGGUCUUCGGAUCGUAAAACUCUGUUAUUAGGGAAGAACAAAUGUGUAAGUAACUAUGCACGUCUUGACGGUACCUAAUCAGAAAGCCACGGCUAACUACGUG
This 497-nucleotide ribosomal RNA is filed under the name uncultured bacterium. RNAcentral's name for it is "partial 16S ribosomal RNA". It matches the Rfam family "Bacterial small subunit ribosomal RNA", at positions 28 to 507 of the family's 1533-position model. The record is from RNAcentral.